CGACCGGCGCACGGGUGAGUAACACGUAUGGAACCUGCCCUAUGCAGGGGGAUAAGCGGAAGAAAUUCCGUCUAAUACCGCAUAACACCUUUAGGAGACAUCUUCUUGGGGUCAAGGGAGGCGACUCCGGCAUAGGAUGGCCAUGCGUCGCAUUAGCUAGUCGGCGGGGUAACGGCCCACCGAGGCGACGAUGCGUAGGGGUUCUGAGAGGAAGGUCCCCCACACUGGUACUGAGACACGGACCAGACUCCUACGGGAGGCAGCAG
RNAcentral lists this ribosomal RNA (266 nucleotides) under uncultured bacterium. Its description in RNAcentral is "partial 16S ribosomal RNA". It matches the Rfam family "Bacterial small subunit ribosomal RNA", at positions 92 to 354 of the family's 1533-position model. The record is from RNAcentral.